CCUACUGGGGGCAGCAGUAGGGCAUAUUGCUCAAUGGGGGAAACCCUGAAGCAGCAACGCCGCGUGGAGGCUGAAGGUUUUCGGAUUGUACACUCCUUUUGUUAGAGAAGAUAAUGAAGGUAUCUAACUCAUAAGCACCGGCUAAAUCCGUGCCAGCAGCCGCGGUAAUACGGAGGGUGCAAGCGUUACUCGGAAUCGCUGUGCGUAAAGAGCGCGUAGGCGGGAUAGCAAGUCAGAUGUGAAAUCCUAUGGCUUAACCAUAGAACUGCAUUUGAAACUGGUAGUCUAGAGUAUGGGAGAGGGAGGUGGAAUUCUUGGGGGAGGGGUAAAAGCCGGAGAGAUCAAGAGGAAUACUCAGUGCGAAGGCGACCUGCUAGAACAUAACUGACGCUGAUGCGCGAAAGCGUGGGGAGCAAACAGGAGUAGAUACCCGGGUAGUC
RNAcentral lists this ribosomal RNA (440 nucleotides) under uncultured bacterium. RNAcentral's name for it is "partial 16S ribosomal RNA". It matches the Rfam family "Bacterial small subunit ribosomal RNA", at positions 338 to 795 of the family's 1533-position model. The record is from RNAcentral.